RNAcentral lists this microRNA precursor (132 nucleotides) under Xyrichtys novacula (pearly razorfish). The record is from RNAcentral. Lineage: Eukaryota; Metazoa; Chordata; Actinopteri; Labriformes; Labridae.
GCCCUAAGGUGCAGAACACAACAGCAAAUCAGAAAACACAACACAAAAAAGAAAACACAACGGUAUUAACUUUUGUGUUUUCUCUUUUAGUGUUGUGUUUUCUGAUUUGCCGUUGUGUUCUGCACCUUAGGG